AUAAAAAUAACCUGGAAAGAAAAACAACAAUGUAAACAGUUUAUACUCAUUUCCUUCCUUGGGUGUAGCUGCUUCUGUCCAUCACUGGAGGAUCAAAAACAUUAUAUAAAUAUUAUUAUUUGUUGUUAUUGUCAUUGUCAAUCCAGGUAGUGGAUGAGAUAAAAAAAAAGUAGAUAGGAAAAUUGUGGAAUUUUAUUGGAUUUAGAACUGGGAGGAAACUUUGAGAGCUGAUUUAAUCUAAGCCACAUGUUUUACAGAUGAAGAAACUGAGAUCUAGAGAACUGAAAUGAAUUGCCCAGGGUCACAUAAGUCCAACUUCAAACAUCAUUCUCCUGAUACCAUGGGGCAAAAGGGAGAAGAUUGAGAGUUGGAAGACUUGAAUUUGAAUCCCAGGCAUGAGGUACAUUGUAAAGGAAUCAAGGACACAAAAAAGUUAGUCCCUGGAUCCAUCAGAUAUUAUGGGAUCGUGUUGGGAAAGAAAAAUCCGAACAAAAGGAAAGGGCCACAAGAAAAAAAAAAAAACAAACAACAA
This is a long non-coding RNA of Antechinus flavipes (yellow-footed antechinus), 532 nucleotides long. RefSeq lists it as uncharacterized. NCBI's taxonomy places the organism in Eukaryota, Metazoa, Chordata, Mammalia, Dasyuromorphia, Dasyuridae. The record is from RefSeq and is a predicted model, not a curated record. The transcript is spliced from 3 exons.